This 406-nucleotide ribosomal RNA is filed under the name uncultured bacterium. RNAcentral's name for it is "partial 16S ribosomal RNA". It matches the Rfam family "Bacterial small subunit ribosomal RNA", at positions 30 to 526 of the family's 1533-position model. The record is from RNAcentral.
AUUGAACGCUGGCGGCAGGCCUAACACAUGCAAGUCGAACGAGUGGCGGACGGGUGAGUAAUGUCUGGGAAACUGCCUGAUGGAGGGGUAUAAAUCCUGGAAACGGUAGCUAAUACCGCAUACCUUCGGAUGUGUCCAUAUGGGAUUAGCUAGUAGGUGGGGGAACGGCUCACCUAUGCGACGAUCCCUAGCUGGUCUGAGAGGAUGACCGGCCACACUGGAACUGAGACACGGUCCAGACGCCUACGGUAGGCAGCAGUGGGGAAUAUUGCACAAUGGGCGCAAGCCUGAUGCAGCCAUGCCGCGUGUAUGAAGAAGGCCUUCGGGUUGUAAAGUACUUUCAGCGGGGAGGCGUUACCCGCAGAAGAAGCACCGGCUAACUCCGUGCCAGCAGCCGCGGUAAUUC